GUCCUUUGUCAGUAAGGCCAUCUUGUGGGAUCGAGGACUCUACCACUACACAGACCACACUGUCCGUGAUGGACGUCCUUCUCUGUGUCCUCGUUUCCUGGUUCACAUGAAGGCCUGUCCUACAGACCUCAGACCCCCACGUCUCCUAUCCAGUAACCCCAGGCCACAUCCUCCUCGCCAGGAAUUGACACAACAAAGACACCCCCUUGGCGGCCUGAAGACGCAUUCAUGUGCAGACUCCAGGAGCCUGCAGCACUGCAGCACCACCAGAGGGAGGCGCUUAGCUGUUGUUGUUCCCUGUGUACCAGUGCCAGUCUCCCCCUCUCCCAGCAGAGCCUCCCCUGAGCUCUCAGUCUGUCCAAGUCCAACA
Molecule: long non-coding RNA, 370 nt
Organism: Oncorhynchus masou masou (cherry salmon)
Lineage: Eukaryota; Metazoa; Chordata; Actinopteri; Salmoniformes; Salmonidae
Exons: 3
Source: RefSeq, a predicted model, not a curated record